This 308-nucleotide ribosomal RNA is filed under the name uncultured bacterium. Its description in RNAcentral is "bacterial SSU rRNA". It matches the Rfam family "Bacterial small subunit ribosomal RNA", at positions 30 to 334 of the family's 1533-position model. The record is from RNAcentral.
AUUGAACGCUGGCGGCAUGCUUUACACAUGCAAGUCGAACGGCAGCACAGGGAGCUUGCUCCCGGGUGGCGAGUGGCGCACGGGUGAGUAAUACAUCGGAACGUGUCCUGUUGUGGGGGAUAACUGCUCGAAAGGGUGGCUAAUACCGCAUGAGACCUGAGGGUGAAAGCGGGGGAUCGCAAGACCUCGCGCAAUUGGAGCGGCCGAUGCCCGAUUAGCUAGUUGGUGAGGUAAAGGCUCACCAAGGCGACGAUCGGUAGCCGGACUGAGAGGUUGAACGGCCACAUUGGGACUGAGACACGGCCCAG